CCUGAGUACGACGGAGCACGUGAAAUUCCGUCGGAAUCUGGGAGGACCAUCUCCUAAGGCUAAAUACUCUCUAGUGACCGAUAGUGAACCAGUACCGUGAGGGAAAGGUGAAAAGUACCCCGGAAGGGGAGUGAAAGAGAACUUGAAACCGUGUGCUUACAAGUAGUCAGAGCCCGUUAAUGGGUGAUGGCGUGCCUUUUGUAGAAUGAACCGGCGAGUUACGAUCUGAUGCAAGGUUAAGCAGAAAAUGUGGAGCCGUAGCGAAAGCGAGUCUGAAUAGGGCGAAUGAGUAUUUGGUCGUAGACCCGAAACCAGGUGAUCUACCCUUGGUCAGGUUGAAGUUCAGGUAACACUGAAUGGAGGACCGAACCGACUUACGUUGAAAAGUGAGCGGAUGAACUGAGGGUAGCGGAGAAAUUCCAAUCGAACUUGGAGAUAGCUGGUUCUCUCCGAAAUAGCUUUAGGGCUAGCCUCAAGUGAUGAUUAUUGGAGGUAGAGCACUGUUUGGACGAGGGGCCCCUCUCGGGUUACCGAAUUCAGACAAACUCCGAAUGCCAAAUAAUUUAACUUGGGAGUCAGAAUGUGGGUGAUAAGGUCCAUAUUCGAAAGGGAAACAGCCCAGACCACCAGCUAAGGUCCCAAAAUAUAUGUUAAGUGGAAAAGGAUGUGGCGUUGCCCAGACAACUAGGAUGUUGGCUUAGAAGCAGCCAUCAUUUAAAGAGUGCGUAAUAGCUCACUAGUCGAGUGACACUGCGCCGAAAAUGUACCGGGGCUAAACAUAUUACCGAAGCUGUGGAUUGUCCUUUGGACAAUGGUAGGAGAGCGUUCUAAGGGCGUUGAAGCAUGAUCGCAAGGACAUGUGGAGCGCUUAGAAGUGAGAAUGCCGGUGUGAGUAGCGAAAGACGGGUGAGAAUCCCGUCCACCGAUUGACUAAGGUUUCCAGAGGAAGGCUCGUCCGCUCUGGGUUAGUCGGGUCCUAAGCUGAGGCCGACAGGCGUAGGCGAUGGAUAACAGGUUGAUAUUCCUGUACCACCAUUAUUCGUUUUAAGCGAUGGGGGGACGCAGUAGGAUAGGCGAAGCGUGCUGUUGGAGUGCACGUCCAAGCAGUGAGAUUGAGUGUUAGGCAAAUCCGGCACUCUUAAGAUUGAGCUGUGAUGGGGAGAGGAACUUGUUCCUCGAGUCGUUGAUUUCACACUGCCGAGAAAAGCCUCUAGCUAGAAUAACGGUGCCCGUACCGCAAACCGACACAGGUAGUCAAGAUGAGAAUUCUAAGGUGAGCGAGCGAACUCUCGUUAAGGAACUCGGCAAAAUGACCCCGUAACUUCGGGAGAAGGGGUGCUCUUUGAGGUUCACGCUUCGAAGAGCCGCAGUGAAUAGGCCCAAGCGACUGUUUAUCAAAAACACAGGUCUCUGCUAAACCGUAAGGUGACGUAUAGGGGCUGACGCCUGCCCGGUGCUGGAAGGUUAAGAGGAGUGGUUAGCGCAAGCGAAGCUACGAAUCGAAGCCCCAGUAAACGGCGGCCGUAACUAUAACGGUCCUAAGGUAGCGAAAUUCCUUGUCGGGUAAGUUCCGACCCGCACGAAAGGCGUAACGAUUUGGGCACUGUCUCAACGAGAGACUCGGUGAAAUCAUAGUACCGGUGAAGAUGCCGGUUACCCGCGACAGGACGGAAAGACCCCGUGGAGCUUUACUGUAGCCUGAUAUUGAAAUUCGGUACAGUUUGUACAGGAUAGGUAGGAGCCUUAGAAGCGUGAGCGCUAGCUUACGUGGAGGCAUUGGUGGGAUACUACCCUAAUUGUAUUGGAUUUCUAACCCGCAGCACUUAUCGUGCUGGGAGACAGUGUCAGGCGGGCAGUUUGACUGGGGCGGUCGCCUCCUAAAGAGUAACGGAGGCGCUCAAAGGUUCCCUCAGAAUGGUUGGAAAUCAUUCAUAGAGUGUAAAGGCAUAAGGGAGCUUGACUGCGAGACCUACAAGUCGAGCAGGGUCGAAAGACGGACUUAGUGAUCCGGUGGUUCCGCAUGGAAGGGCCAUCGCUCAACGGAUAAAAGCUACCCCGGGGAUAACAGGCUUAUCUCCCCCAAGAGUUCACAUCGACGGGGAGGUUUGGCACCUCGAUGUCGGCUCAUCGCAUCCUGGGGCUGUAGUCGGUCCCAAGGGUUGGGCUGUUCGCCCAUUAAAGCGGUACGCGAGCUGGGUUCAGAACGUCGUGAGACAGUUCGGUCCCUAUCCGUCGUGGGCGUAGGAAAUUUGAGAGGAGCUGUCCUUAGUACGAGAGGACCGGGAUGGACAUACCUCUGGUGUACCAGUUGUCGUGCCAACGGCAUAGCUGGGUAGCUAUGUAUGGACGGGAUAAGUG
RNAcentral lists this ribosomal RNA (2358 nucleotides) under Staphylococcus pseudintermedius. RNAcentral describes it as "partial 23S ribosomal RNA". It matches the Rfam family "Bacterial large subunit ribosomal RNA", at positions 407 to 2770 of the family's 2925-position model. Lineage: Bacteria; Bacillati; Bacillota; Bacilli; Caryophanales; Staphylococcaceae. The record is from RNAcentral.